UUUUAUACUCUUAUAAUUUUUUAUAAGUUAGAAAUUAAUUCCUAAAAUUUGAUAAAUAAUUUAUUAUUUAUAUCAAUUUUUGUAAAUGGUUUGUAUUCAUUACUUUAUAUAGUUUAUAAUAAAUAAAAAUAAUUAAUCUAACAUUAUUACUCUUUCUAUAAUUUUGACAAUUACUACCAUAAAUCAUUAAUUAUGUAGACUGACCUUUUAUUUUAGAUCAAAUUAUAAUUACUUAAAAUUAAAAUCAUAGACCAUUCAAAUUAUAACAAUUUUCUUACAAUUAUAAAUAGAUUUGUGUCUCUCUAUAGCCAAUCUUGGAUUAUAAUUUGACCAAAAAUCUCUUCUUUUUUUUUGAUAAAGACCAAAAAUCUCUUAUAUUUGAUAUAAAAGGAAAUGUUAUAUUUUCUUAUAUAUAUUUGACCAAGAAGAUAUUUACUUGUAAUGUGCAUGUGUCACUAUAUAUAUAAUCAGAAAAAGUAAAGAAAAACGCACCAAACAAAACGCUAAAGUGAAUAUUUUACAACAAAGUUUUAAAUUUACUUAUAAAAUGGUCAUCACUAUGAAAACUUUAGUUCUGUUUGUUUUCACUACUAUUUUCAUCAUAUCUUUUGUUGAUUGUCAUACUACAACUAUGGCUACUACCCCUGCUAGUACUCCUGGUUAUGGAAUAAAUUGGGCGACAGUACUGUGCUUCAAGAUCUCAACGCCGUGUGAUUUAGCAGGGCGAUAUGGAUGCGCAAAGUUUUGUGACCAGUGGGAUUAUUUUUAUGACAGGUGUGAACCGGGUAAAUGUUGUUGUCACAGAUAAGUAGUAUGCGUUCAGAAUAAAAUAAUCUUAUAAAAGUAUUGGCAUUUGUUUGAAAGUAACAUCAACAACUUUCAUGCUUUAUUAUCAAUAUAUGAUCAAGAAAUGAAAUGAAUCAAAAUUAUUAGAUUGAAAUAGUUUGAUUCAAUCCAUUUAAUAAUAUUUAAAAAAAAAAGAUUUAUGAGAAAAAUAAAAUUA
This is a long non-coding RNA of Brassica napus (rape), 1003 nucleotides long. RefSeq lists it as uncharacterized. Lineage: Eukaryota; Viridiplantae; Streptophyta; Magnoliopsida; Brassicales; Brassicaceae. The transcript is spliced from 2 exons. The record is from RefSeq and is a predicted model, not a curated record.